Long non-coding RNA from Catharus ustulatus (Swainson's thrush), 6510 nucleotides. RefSeq lists it as uncharacterized. Lineage: Eukaryota; Metazoa; Chordata; Aves; Passeriformes; Turdidae. The record is from RefSeq and is a predicted model, not a curated record. The transcript has 2 exons.
AGGGCAGCCCGCUGGGGCAGGGUGCAAGGCAGAGCAGGAAAAAGCUGGAAUGGGGCCACAGGCGCUCAGCACAGCCACACACAGCUCUGCUGAACGCCAGCGCCUUCACUUGCUGCUGAGCCCAGAGAGGCACCAAGAGUCACUUCCCAGGCGUGGUGCAGAGGAGAGCAUCGUGCACACAAAGCUCCUUUCAUGCUGCUAGGACCUGGGUUACACUGAGCACACCAUCUGCCAGGUAAAAAGAGAUCAAGCUAUUUCCUAUGGAAUCCCUGGCCCCAAAGGCUGUGGUUACAAGCACACAUCUUGUUUCAUUAUGACAAAUGGAUAAAUUACAUAUCCACCAACUGUUCAGCUCUGGAAUGAAGCACAAGCAUAUGGGGCAGUUGAAGGAGAAGAGAGAGGUGCAUCAUCCCAGACAGAGCUCCUCAAGCUCAGGAUUGGACAAGACUAGCCAGAAUUACAUUAAGUUUCCCUGAAACUGGGAUUGCAGUUGGCCCUAAAGCUAUCACAGUGUCCCAGGCACCCAGAAUUGAGAGUGUUUGCUGAUAAAUUACAACACCAGUUGGAAAUCCUGGAAAUUACCUGUCAUGCCAAGCUAUGGGUUUAUUUUUAACCAGUAAGCUUCUAAAUUUCACCUCUCCAAAAUCAAAAUAAAAUCUCAAAAUUCCUCACAUGCCAAACCUGCUCUUCUCCCCAGCUAAUUCCAGGAGCUGCUGGCAGAAAAUGAACCUAAAGCCCAUGGAAUUUAUACAAGUGGAAAAGUGUACGUGCAGGAGGACUGGAUGCACCAGCUCUGUGCAGACUGGCAGGCAACCUCUAACCUAUUUAACUGGAGCCUGAAAAAAGAUAAUUUUUAUUUGGCUGGACUGAAACAGAUCUGGAUGUAUAUAUCUGAGGCACAUUGUAACAAGCACAAACACUGCAGACUCAUUUCAUAGUUAUGCCUAUUCCAAAUUAAUCUGAAUUCAAAUCCAAACUAGGUGCUGAAAUGGGAUAAAAUGCAGCUGCAGCUCUUCUCCUUCAGCACACACGUACAGAGACAUCACAUCCGACAUGGUGUGGGAAGCUCUGCCCUCCCAGGCUGCAGAAACACUUAGAAAUUAGUCAGCAGUUAAAAAAAGGUCCAGGAUGUUGAUUGCAAACCUGAGGACUGGUUUUGUUCCUGAGAUAACAAAAGAAAGCACAAUAAAAAAGUGAGUUUAUGUAUGCUUUAGUCACCUUAUCUGUGGACAAGGGAAAACACCCCACUCUCAUCUGAAGGAAGUUAACACAGGUGGAACUCUGAGGGGGACUUUGAAGUUGUGCUCAAAGCAUUCCCAUAAAUAUCAUUCUUGUGCCAAUCUCCAUUUAGCACAGAAGCAUUUGAAUUGCUUACAUGCAACCCUGGAGAAGAGCCUGAAAAGUGAGGGAGAGUUCAAACCUCAGCAGGCAGUGUGUGCCAGCAGGAUGAGCAUGAACUCUCCCCAGCACUGAUGGGACAGAUGUGGAGAAGUCCCUUUCCAACCAUCUGCAGUGUUUGUUUCUAGGGCUGAGGUUCCUACAUGGGUUCCUUCACCACCCUCCUUGUUCCACUGCUGUGCCUCUCCUCCACCAGAACAUUAAUGACUGAGAAAUCCAGCCUGAAAUCUGGGCUUUAUUCAAACAAACAUGAACAAACCCAACAGCCACCUGGUGCCAUGGUUUUGGUUGCUGAGUUGAGGGGGCACAAACCAUACAAGUAAACAUUUGUCUCUGGGAACUAAAGCCAUGACCCAAAAAAAGGCAAUUCUCCUUUUGUUGCCACAUGUCUUACAUCAGUUAUGGCAGGACAUGGAAGUUCUUUGUCAAGCCUUUUAACCCCCUGUGUGCAGCACCAAGAGAGGCAGGCUGGGACCCACUGAUGGCAGAGCUCACCUAAACCCACCCAGCUCAUGGGGUCAGGUGCUGAAGGUGGAAUCCCAGUGGGAUCCAGCCCAGAGAGUGAACUUCUGCAGGAGCCUGAGAGGAUGGGAGUAAGGAAAGCUUCAGCCAGGGAUCUGCAUCUCCUGGAUUCCCCACCCCAGGGACCUGCAUCUCCUGGAUUCCCCACCCCAGGGACCUGCAUCUCCUGGAUUCCCCACCCCAGGGACCUGCAUCUCCUGGAUUCCCCACCCCAGGGACCUGCAUCUCCUGGAUUCCCCACCCCAGGGACCUGCAUCCCCUGGAUUCCCCACCUUUGUCACAGAGGGACAUUUCCCAUAUAUGGCCCAAGGCAGCAGGGUCACAUUUCAGUGCAGGCUCCUGGCAAGCCCAGACAUUCACACACCAUGAGUCAGUGCUCCAGAAAUCACUGGGCUUUACAAACCAAUAAAUCUAAUUCAUUUUGGUUGAGUUUUUACAUUCACCUUCUGUUGGGGUUUUUUCCAACCUCCAGUACACAGGCACUGUCACAUUUUCAUUGUGCUUCUCUGUAACUGGCAGGAGCAUCUCUUUCCAUUCUGGGUUUUUUUUUGCUUUGUAAAAUGACAGACAAGAUUUUCAUAUUGCACUGAAUCCUGGUGUUGGGGCAUGAAGAAUAAAACCAGAGCAACUAUUAUGGAGGUUGGGAACAUUCUAAACUCUCUUGUCCUUUCACACAGCCCUCUGACAACAAAGAAUACUUAUUUUUAAAAUAAAACCACAAAAUAUCUUCAAUCCUGUCCUCAAAUCCCAAACAAACAGCAACUUAUCUGGCAUUUCAGCCAGCAGACAGGACUGCUGCCAGUAAGAACAUUAUGACACAAUCUUUUCCACCAGUGACCUGAUAACAUCAGCAUGACCUUUCUUCUCUUUUUGAACUCUACUCUUCUCAGUUCAAUAGUUCAGCAGAAACUGACCCAUUUUGGAUUACACAAACUAAACCAGAUACCAGACAUUCCUAUUAAAAAUAGACUUAAAUUCAAAUUGCAAAAAAUAUCAUUGGGUAAUUAUUUUCAGAUUAGUAAUGAAAUAAAGGAUGUGGGAAAAUUUAGGGUGAGAAUUUUUAGUUUCAGUUUCCAGCUCUGUCAGUCUGGGCCACUUCAGUUCUCUGUGUGCUGGUGUUUUCCAUAAGCAAAAUACAGAUAAUGCCCCAUCAGGGAAUGGAAUCAAUAUUUCAUUUCUUUAAAGUAGUACUGUAUUCAUAAUGGAAUUAAAUACUUUCAGAGAACUGCAGAGCUCAGAGAAGGGAGGCACUUAAGGGAAGAAGUGUGAGUGAACAAUCUCCUUGAAAGUCUGCAGAGCAUCCUAACAAUUUUACAACACAGAAUAUAAAAAAACCCAGGACAAAACAAGGUGAUUUUGAGGCAAAAUUCAUCUUUGAUGCAAGUGCAAAAGACAAUGCAAGUCCUGUUCAUUUUUGUGGCUUUUUUGGUUUUUUGAUCUCUUUCCCAGUUCACAAUGAAAAUUAUAGUCAACAUGCAGAAUAAAAUAUUGUUCAAAAAGCUUGUUUUUACUUAGGGGGGCAUUUCAACUUAAAAAUAAAAGUGUUACCGACAAGUGUGGCCUUAAAAAAAAAAACUACAAAAAACCCAAAAAAUAUAAACAUUCUUGGGACUUAAGGUGUGAAGGAGGCAGCAUGCUGUCAAACUGCUGGCUAGGAAAACAUAAGGAUUUUAGAUUUCAAAUCUUUUGCAUAUGUUGUAAAAAAUCAUUUUCCUUAGAAGUUUGGUCAAUGCAUUUAGACCCUUUCCUCCAUAAUCAAGGAUUAAGGCUGAUCAGUCAAGCACACAGUGGACAGUAAUAGUUUAUAUCCUUUUCUUCACAUUUUCACUAGGGAAUUUUUAGGAAAUACUACCAUGUAUUAGAUUUAAUGUCAAGCCUGCACCUCUUACUCCUGCCAGAGCAAUGAAAGCUUUAGCCCAUGUUAUUAGGAAGUGAAAGAAAGCAAGCUCAGGCCUCCAGAACAAUGUUUUACCCAGUGAGUUUGGCUUUGGGAGAGCAGCACUGAGGGAGACAGGCCUCAUUCCAAGAACGAUCAUCUUACUUCCCUCAGACAAAGUAAAGCCUUUCACGACCCAGCCUGGGCUCUGGCCUACAUUCUGCUGGAUGAAAAGGCUUCAUUAUUUGCAGUUGAACACAUUGUUUGAAAACCUGAUAUAAACGGCCUUUACCACAGCAAGAGCUGACAAACUGAAAUCAUGAAGUGUUGAGGGUUCCAAGGGUCCAAAACGGCAAAGCUGUAUCCAAUGCGCUGUGUGUUCUCUCUAAAACACACGGUUUAAACCCUGAAAUAGUUUUCACCCACGGCAGAGUUCAGAGAUGGUAUCAGGGUGAUCACAGAAGGUAAUCUGCAGAUUUCAGGUGUCUCUGAAGGCAGAUAAAAAGAAAUUCUGCAAGUGCUUUGUUUCUAAGUGUGCUGCUUUGCAGUCAUUGACAGGUGCUUUGAAUUCCAGCUGCACUCUCCCUGCACACCCUGUAGCCAUUCCAAGUCUCCCUGAAGCCUUGCAGUGAGCUGAACAACAUAUUUCAAUUCUUUCCAGGAAUUCCUUCACUCAGAAUGACCUUCCUGACUCAGGUAUUUCCAUUGCAAAAAAUCUGUGUGUGGCUUGUAUAUUCAGGUCAAAGGAGCAAGUAACAAACAGUACAAAUAACAGGAUACUGAUGGCUUGGCCUUUAUUUUCAUUAAAUUCGUGUUUCAACUCCCUCUUGUUUCUCUUCUGCAUGAGACAAAAUCUUGCUCCACCCACCCCAGAGCCUCUGCACAAGAAGAUGCACAGUGACAGAUCAGGUUUGACUGAGCUGACAGGGAACUCCAUGAUCCCCUGCACAAUCAGACUUUCCAUCUGACAGACAUAAGGCAUGGAUUAUGCAAUAUCAGCCUCUGGCUGGUUGCCAGGAACCUGGACCCUGAGCCCCUACAUAAAAACCAGCUUCAAUUUCUACUUUUUGGAUUAUACAGGCACAGGGGACUUGGAAAUCUACCCUUUACUUGGAAUCUGAAAAAUAAACUGUUUCCAAACUCUCCUGCAAUGCUUGUGCAACAGCCUCGGGACAGGCAGGGCUCUGGCCAGCUGUGCCACCAGCCACAGAAGCUGCAUUUUAGAGCUCUCCCUUCUCUGCAACAAUUGGAACUUUCUCCAGGCUGAAGUCUGCACACAGAGCUCAGUGUUUCCCUGCAAGCACACAACAGCUCCAUUAUCGUUUAACUACCAAAAACCAGCUCCAACAAUCUAUCAAGCCUGACAUUCUAUCCACUAGCCCAGACUGCUGGGCACACAUAUAGGAAGAGGUUCAUGGAUUCAGUAAGAAAAAAGUUAUUUUGUUAAUCUAAACAGAGAUUUCCCUUCUUUUAACCAUUAAUUUGCCAUUUUAAAAACCAUUAAGGAGCCCAGAGGCCCGUUUGUCCUCAGAUUAUCAAAUACAAGUGUCUAUAAAGAAAUUUAUUCUAGAAAAUUAAUAAAAGCUCCUUUUUAAGAUAUAUAUAUAUAUAUAAAACGAAUUUAAAGGAAAUCCCACAGAAAAGGAUCUGCUCACUGCCUCAGAGCUGCAGCACCAGUGGUGUUUCCAGCCUGGCCAUGAUUAUUUUAACACCAAACUACAUCAGAGCAUGAAGCUGCUGCUUAUCUCCCUCCAUGGCCAGGGACAGCUCUGCUGGGCACAUUUCCAAGCCAUGGUGGCCCAGGCAAAGACCUGGGAAGCACCAACACUUCCAUGGAAGCAAAGUGAUUAAAGCAUGACACAGCCUCACCUCGUGGAGAUGACCUCAAGCACAGAACUGCUGAUGUGAGUCUCUGGCUGAAGGACACCUGGCAGCCAUCCCCAUUUUGCUCUGAGCAAGGUAUUUUGACAUCAACAAAAAGUAACAUCCCAUCAGUUUCAGUCUGGAAAUCUGUGGGAUGCAGCUCCUGACUCAUUUGGGGAAAAGCCAAACCAAUAAAAGAUCAGGUGGUGUGGAUGCAGUGAUGCCACUUGUGACACUGCAAUUUGAAAUCAUCCAUGUGUAUAUAUGGAAUAUAUAAUGCCCAAAGGAACCAUCCUUCUUGCAGCAGAGGUUACCACGCAACAAGAUACUCCCAAAAGAAAGUAUUUUAAAUUUAAAUUACAUUUAAUGAGUUUCAAAUCUCACUUAACAUCAGCCUAAACUAAAAGAUUCAAAGCAUAUGCUCUUUAAGUACAUUCUUAUAAGCACAUCCCACAACCUUCUGAAUAUAAAUAAAAAGGUGGCAGCAUGAAAAAAAAGCUGAUGUUUAAUGAAUAUUUUAGUCUCCACCGAAAUAAAAUGUGGAAAUUGCUAUUCCAAGGCUAUUUGGCAAAGGAGCCAGAGGGCAUUAGAGAAAGAAGCCUGAUGAAUAUUUUUGAGUAAACUGAAAACCUCAAGAGCAAUUAAUGUGAAGAAGUUGUAGAUUUUAUAGACACUGAGAAGAAUUAACAGCAUCUCAGAAUGACAACUCUUUCUAAAGAAAGUCCCUUAUGGGAGCAUUAAUUUAACAAGCCAAAAAAGCCUUUCAGAGGUUAGAAUGAGCCAUCUCACUUCUGAGGAAACCGGCUGAGAAAGAAGGAAAAAACCUAAUAAAAUCUGAAUUCUGGAUCUGA